AUUAGUGAGUAUAGUGUUAGAUGGUAGGGUAUUUAUUCAGUACAUUUGUUUCUUUUUCAAGUAAAGUAUAAGGGAGUUGUACUCCAGGCUAGUAGGUGGCGGUAAUGCAACAAAUUGGAUGCCAACCGGCGUUAAACCUCAGAAGAAGAAGAUUGUUUGGAACGUCAUUAGACGGAAAAGGAAGAACGUCAUUAGACGGAAGAGGAAGGAAAGUGUGUUUGAAACUAAAAUCGCUAGUAACAACCAGCAUCAAACGUAACAUUGCUUGUCAAAUGGAUAUCAUUUCUCGUUAUGGUUUGUAGUUAUGCUGGCUUUGCUUCUGCUGUCUUUCUACAACAUCCGAAGUUUCCCUGGCACACAAACGUACUUGUUUCAUUUCGAAUGCUGGGCCGGACAGGAAAAUGGUCCAAUUCACACACUGAUCAAGACAACAUCCCUGGUCCUCCCUACUGCCUCUGAUCUGGAGGACUCACUAAACAGAGAACAUCCCUGGUCAUCCCUACUGCCUCUGAUCUGGAGGACUCACUAAACAGAGAACAUCCCUGGUCAUCCCUACUGCCUCUGAUCUGGAGGACUCACUAAACAGAGAACAUCCCUGGUCAUCCCUACUGCCUCUGAUCUGGAGGACUCACUAAACACAUGCUUCAUUUGUAAAUGAUGUCUGAUUGUUGGAGUGUUCCCCUGGUUAUUUCUUAAAUAAAAUGACAAGAGAAUCGUGCUGUCUGGUUUGCUUAAUAUAUGGAAGGUCAAAUCAUUUAUACUUUUACCACUGAUACUUAAGUAUAUUUUAGCAAUGACGUUUACUUAGUAUUUUACUGGGUGACUUUCACUUUUACUUGAGUCAUUUUCUAUUAACAUAUUAUUAUUGUACCUUUUUCCCUUCAUUUGCCUACUACUGUCUAUAAGCUGUCAUAACAUGUGGGUUUUUUCAUGGGGACCAGGUAUCGGAACGCCUUUGAAGGGUCUACAAAGCCCCCAGGUAAAAGUUGGCUUUUGCAGACAAGGAUUGUAUUGUUACUCCACGACAUAAUAUGUUAUCACAACUCUAUUAAAAGGACAUUCUACACAAGGUGUCACUUCAUUCCUUCUAUUUGAUGGGAACUCCUGGUUAGGAAUGGGGAACGAGUGCUAUCUCUCUGGGGAAUAAAACAUGUUUAUACCUAUGCAGUACCUUUAGCAAUAAUAAACCUCUACUUUAGUAAAGAAAACAAUUAUGACAGGUGUGUUGUAAUAAAAAUGAGUGGUGUCCACUGACUAAAUGCAGUCUUUCUGGAAAACCCAGAUAUUCACAAAGUGUUUGAUGAAUGACACGUUGCUUCUUCAUGCAAAAUAGAUUUGGACUUUAAAAUUCAAUUAAGCUGCUUUAUUUUCAGGGUUUAGUGAAGGUGGGUCAUUUUUUACCCUUGGGACAAUGGGAGUAAACAGACUGUUAAGACUACACAAGGGUUAAGUCAAGUAUUUACAAGGUGUCUAGUCAUUUCUGGUCGUUAAUGUCUAAUUGACCACACAUUAGUGCAAGUUGAAGUGUUGUCAGUGCUACACAGCUGUCUGUAGUCUAGGUGCUCGUUAUAAGUGCUUGAAAUCAUAGAUUGCCGUGUUCCAGAGCAUCAAGACUGUGAUCGAAGGGUGAAUUGUGACUGAAUUACUGAGCUACAAAUAAUAUUAAGUGGUUAAUUAUAAGUCAAGGUUACUCUACAUCACUCUCGACUCGCCUUAAAAGUCAUCUGCAAUGUGGAACCUCCAACAAUUCAUUGACACAGUUGUGACUGACUCCUUCAUAGCCGUCGGCCAGCUCUUUCACAUCAACCAUCUAAUUGAGGUGAAAGGACGUGACCCUCCAAUCUAAAAUGUAA
This is a non-coding RNA of Salmo salar (Atlantic salmon), 1853 nucleotides long. The record is from RefSeq and is a predicted model, not a curated record. Lineage: Eukaryota; Metazoa; Chordata; Actinopteri; Salmoniformes; Salmonidae.